UUAGUCCGUUUUUUCGUCAAC
Non-coding RNA from Caenorhabditis elegans, 21 nucleotides. NCBI's taxonomy places the organism in Eukaryota, Metazoa, Nematoda, Chromadorea, Rhabditida, Rhabditidae. The record is from Ensembl.